GAUAAACGCUGGCGGCGCACAUAAGACAUGCAAGUCGAACGAACUUAAUUGAGAGCUUGCUCUCAAAGCGGUUAGUGGCGGACUGGUGAGUAACACGUAAGCGACCUGCCUAUUAGAGGGGAAUAACAGCGAGAAAUCGUUGCUAAUACCGCAUAUGCUGUGAGUAUCGCAUGAUACAAGCAGGAAAGGAGCAAUCCGCUAAUAGAUGGGCUUGCGUCUGAUUAGUUAGUUGGUGGGGUAACGGCCUACCAAGACGAUGAUCAGUAGCCGGACUGAGAGGUUGAACGGCCACAUUGGGACUGAGAUACGGCCCAGACUCCUACGGGAGGCAGCAGUCGGGAAUAUUGCGCAAUGGAGGAAACUCUGACGCAGUGACGCCGCGUGCAGGAAGAAGGUUUUCGGAUUGUAAACUGCUUUUAACAGGAGGGAAAAAUGACGGACCUGUGAAUAAG
Molecule: ribosomal RNA, 452 nt
Filed under: Clostridiales bacterium oral taxon 085
Lineage: Bacteria; Bacillati; Bacillota; Clostridia; Eubacteriales
Description: bacterial SSU rRNA
Rfam family: Bacterial small subunit ribosomal RNA
Source: RNAcentral